RNAcentral lists this ribosomal RNA (246 nucleotides) under uncultured bacterium. Its description in RNAcentral is "partial 16S ribosomal RNA". It matches the Rfam family "Bacterial small subunit ribosomal RNA", at positions 15 to 257 of the family's 1533-position model. The record is from RNAcentral.
GAUCAUGGCUCAGGACGAACGCUGGCGGCGUGCUUAACACAUGCAAGUCGAACGGACGAAGCCCCUUCGGGGGCCGAGUUAGUGGCGGACGGGUGAGUAACGCGUGAGCAACCUGCCCAUAAGAGGGGGGAUAACAUCGGGAAACCGAUGCUAAUACCGCAUAAGACCACGAUAGCACAUGCUAAUGAGGUCAAAGGAGCAAUCCGCUUAUGGAGGGGCUCGCGUCCCAUUAGGUAGAUGGUGAGG